GAUGAAGAACGUAGCGAAAUGCGAUAAGUAAUGUGAAUUGCAGAAUUCAGUGAAUCAUCGAAUCUUUGAACGCAUCUUGCGCUCCUUGGUAUUCCGAGGAGCAUGCCUGUUUGAGGGUCGCCAGAUCAACAUCGAAAUUCAUUUGCUUUUGUAAAUGUUUUAUCGGAUUUGGGCCGUCUUUUAUUUUUUUUAAUUAAAGUGGCUUAAAAUGUAUUUUUUGGUAUCGAAAAACGUUAUUUUACGAUCAAAUUGAUUAAAAAAACAAACGUUUCGAAUGCCAUCUUUUAAUGUAAUACGUUUGACUGUGUUUGUUCAUCAUAGUUUCAUUCGUAUACGAUUUUUUAAUUUUUGACCUCAAAUCAGGUAAGAACACCCGCUGAACUUAAGCAUAUCAAUAAGCGGAGGA
RNAcentral lists this unclassified non-coding RNA (406 nucleotides) under soil metagenome. RNAcentral describes it as "partial contains 5.8S ribosomal RNA, internal transcribed spacer 2, and large subunit ribosomal RNA". The stretch from base 1 to 120 matches the Rfam family "5.8S ribosomal RNA", at positions 35 to 154 of the family's 154-position model. The record is from RNAcentral.